CUUCUAUGACUCUCCUCAUAGGAAUAUCCUUUGAAGUUUCCUUCCUCACCUUAAACCAGCCAUGCAUCAUCAGAGAACCCUCAGCUGCUUAUCCUGAAGGACCCUGUUGACUUGGCUGGAAUAUUUACCAUAAACACAACGAUUCAACAUUCAAGGGCAGUCAACUCAGAGACUUUUUGUGAUAGUGUGGUGAAGAAAAUGAAAUGGAGUCAUAUAAAUGAGAGUUUCUAAAUGGAAAGGAAAGGCCAUUCUGAGGGAAAUGCCACCUAAAUGAUGAGAAGGAGCUAAGCCAUGGAAAGACCAGGGAAGAGGAUCCCAGGAGAAGAAAGAGCAAGCCUGUUGGAAAAAAGGAACACGAUUAACAUGGUCUCCACUCAUCCGUCUACAGAGAGUUUUAUGCAAAUAAGAUAAACAUCUUGCCUGCAGUGUCUGCACUAUGCGUACAUUAGCCAAUGCUAAAAAGAAGACAGCAGUGCCUGGCACACCUGGGGAGGGUCAGUAUCCUGGAGGAGGAACAGGAAAGAGCAAAGAAACUGGAGAUGCCCACGUGCUGGUAACCUGAACUUAGAAGUGAGUCCAGGGAGAGGCCCCUUGGGGACUCACAGAACUACUUGGAUUGGGGACAAGGAGAUGUCUUUCCAACUGAAGAGGUGAUCAGACCAAACACUAGUUAGGCCCAAUGCUCUGUGUCCCCAUGGCUGCCUGAACUUCCUCUGUUCAUUACAUUCAUCAAAGAUGGCCCUAACUCAUACUUCUUAAUGAGCCUCAAUCAUCUCAUCACAGCAAAACUGAAUGGCUUUGUCAUGAGGCCCCUUCAUACUAAGAAGGCUCAUCUUGUCUAGCUCUAUUUCAACAUUCUACUGCUGCAGUGACUGUACUACCUGACCAAAACUGCCUUACUGUUCCCCUGGACUUGACUGAACAGGCUUCUUCCUGACCAUAAGCCCCUGAUUCUCCCUUUACUUACUUACAGCAUUUACUUUAGAAAACUUGGAAUUGUAAAUUCUUUCUCUGUCCCUUUGAAAUGUAAGGCUUCUCCCAGCCUCUUGCCACUUUUACAACCCAGGAAUGUCUUUCCCAAGGACCUGGGAGCCAAUCCUUUGAAAUGUAAUCACCAAAAAAGAAUCACUGAUUGAUCUCCCAAGGCUCUGUGGGAGGAUAGGACCCUAACUUAUACAUUGACAGUUAGCAAACACAGAUGGCCUAAUCACAUUACCAAUCUCUUCUCAGUGUCCUCCAGUACUUUUCCACAAGCUCAUUCACUGCUUAAAACUCUCCUGCCUUUGGAGCAACUGGGUGGCUCAGUCAUUUAAGUGUAUGACUUCAGGUCAUGAUCUCACAAUUCGUGGGUUUGAGCUCUGCAUUGGGCUCCACGCUGACAGUGUGGAACCUGCUU
This is a long non-coding RNA of Felis catus (domestic cat), 1396 nucleotides long. RefSeq lists it as uncharacterized. Lineage: Eukaryota; Metazoa; Chordata; Mammalia; Carnivora; Felidae. The transcript is spliced from 4 exons. The record is from RefSeq and is a predicted model, not a curated record.